AAUGAACGCUGGCGGCGCGCCUAAUACAUGCAAGUCGAGCGAGAAGACGUAGCAAUACGUUUGUAAAGCGGCGAACGGGUGAGGAAUACAUGGGUAACCUACCCUCGAGUGGGGAAUAACUAGCCGAAAGGUUAGCUAAUACCGCGUACGCUCCUUGGACUUCGGUUCAGGGAGGAAAGCGAUACCGUGGGUAUCGCGCUCUUGGUUGGGCUCAUGUCCUAUCAGCUUGUUGGUGAGGUAACGGCUCACCAAGGCUUCGACGGGUAGCUGGUCUGAGAGGACGAUCAGCCACACUGGCACUGCGACACGGGCCAGACUCCUACGGGAGGCAGCAGUAAGGAAUAUUGCGCAAUGGGCGAAAGCCUGACGCAGCGACGCCGCGUGGGGGGAUGAAGGUCUUCGGAUUGUAAACCCCUUUCGGGAGGGAAGAUGGAACGAGCAAUCGUUCGGACGGU
This 455-nucleotide ribosomal RNA is filed under the name uncultured bacterium. RNAcentral describes it as "bacterial SSU rRNA". It matches the Rfam family "Bacterial small subunit ribosomal RNA", at positions 29 to 476 of the family's 1533-position model. The record is from RNAcentral.